CUCCUUUGACGUUAGCGGCGGACGGGUGAGUAACACGUGGGUAACCUACCUAUAAGACUGGGAUAACUUCGGGAAACCGGAGCUAAUACCGGAUAACAUUGGAACCGCAUGGUUCUAAAGUGAAAGAUGGUUUUGCUAUCACUUAUAGAUGGACCCGCGCCGUAUUAGCUAGUUGGUAAAGUAACGGCUUACCAAGGCAACGAUACGUAGCCGACCUGAGAGGGUGAUCGGCCACACUGGAACUGAGACACGGUCCAG
This 258-nucleotide ribosomal RNA is filed under the name uncultured Staphylococcus sp. RNAcentral describes it as "partial 16S ribosomal RNA". It matches the Rfam family "Bacterial small subunit ribosomal RNA", at positions 81 to 334 of the family's 1533-position model. Lineage: Bacteria; Bacillati; Bacillota; Bacilli; Caryophanales; Staphylococcaceae. The record is from RNAcentral.